This is a long non-coding RNA of Hibiscus syriacus, 471 nucleotides long. RefSeq lists it as uncharacterized. NCBI's taxonomy places the organism in Eukaryota, Viridiplantae, Streptophyta, Magnoliopsida, Malvales, Malvaceae. The transcript has 4 exons. The record is from RefSeq and is a predicted model, not a curated record.
UUUUAAUUUUCGGCCAACAGUUAAGUGAACCAACUUUCCACUGCGCCUUUUUUUCCAACUCAAUACUUUGAAGUUUGAACAAUUCUCUUUGCCUUUCUUCUCUCCAUAAAUUCUAAUCUAUCCGAGGUAUGGCAUGUGGCCGCACUUGCUUGCUGAGGGAGUGUUGGUGCUGAUCCUUCUUUAAGGAAGAAAGUAGGGAGGAGAGUGAAAUCAUGUUUGUUCAUGAUCUAGCAGCGAAAUUGAGUACCGGAAAAGGCCCCCAGACUCUUUUCCAGUUUUCUGAUCUAUCAGUAACUAAGCCUGAUACGGUAACAUCCUCCUCCAGUAUUCGAGUUUUAUCAAACCAUUACAGCUUAGGCGACUGGUCUUAUCAGGUAAGCAAAUACUUUGGUAAGAAAUCUUGCUCUUUAAUAAUAUGCAGAUUUUAUUUGCAUAGCUUGGAUUUUCUUGAAUUUUAUUCACCCACUGUAA